AUUGUGAUGUUCUUAAUUAUUUAAUUUUAUAAAGGGUCUACAGCCAAAGUAAAUCAUAAGAUCUCAAAUGUCUAGCCUAUGCUAGGCCUUCCUAGGGCUACAUUCGAGACAUAACUGAUACUUGAGGUUCAUGGAAUUGAUAGAUUCUCAGUUUAUUCGUGUAGAAGUAGAGAUUUGAGAAGUGGAAGUAACUGAUGAAUGCAAUAUACGAUGCACACCAUUAGAUACUUGAUGACAAAAGAAGUGCUUUAACACCAGAUAUAUGGAAGGAAUAGAAAAAGAGGUGGGAAAUACCUCAAAAAACCUUUAAGGAAGUUGUGUGAAAUGCUUCUAUAAUGGCUAACUGUAAAAGAAGUGCUUUAACACCAGAUACAUCUUUAGGAAAGGAAUAGAAAAAGAGGUGGGAAAUACCUCAAAAAACCUUUAAGGAAGUUGUGUGAAAUGCUUCUAUAGUGGCUAACUGUAGAUAAGUAUGACACAAAACAAGACCAGAGAUUUAUUUAUUUAUUUAUUUAUUUUUUAAAGAAUAAACAAUGAUCUGGAAGAAGGAUUGAGGAGCUUUUAUUAAUUGAGAAAAUUGUUUCUUUUUUUGUUAAAUGUUUCACCUUUUCAAUAAACUUAUCUGUUGAUAGUGUACAUGUAUUUCUUGUUUUAGAGCUCACCUAUAC
RNAcentral lists this long non-coding RNA (668 nucleotides) under Elaeis guineensis (African oil palm). RNAcentral's name for it is "long non-coding RNA (EGUI_LNC022322)". The record is from RNAcentral. Lineage: Eukaryota; Viridiplantae; Streptophyta; Magnoliopsida; Arecales; Arecaceae.